This 472-nucleotide ribosomal RNA is filed under the name uncultured bacterium. RNAcentral describes it as "bacterial SSU rRNA". It matches the Rfam family "Bacterial small subunit ribosomal RNA", at positions 26 to 518 of the family's 1533-position model. The record is from RNAcentral.
UACAGAACGAACGCUGGCGGCAUGGAUUAGGCAUGCAAGUCGAACGGGAGCAGCAAUGCUCCAGUGGCGCAAGGGUGAGGAACACGUGAACAACCUGCCUUCGAGUUGGGGAUAGCUUCUGGAAACGGGAGAUAAUACCGAAUAACAUCAACGGGUCGCAUGAUCUGUUGAUCAAAGCAGCAAUGCGCUUGAAGAGGGGUUCGCGUCCCAUUAGCUAGUUGGUGAGGUAACGGCCCACCAAGGCGAUGAUGGGUAGCUGGUCUGAGAGGACGAUCAGCCACAUUGGGACUGAGAUACUGCCCAGACUCCUACGGGAGGCUGCAGUCGAGAAUUUUGGGCAAUGGACGAAAGUCUGACCCAGCCAAUGCCGCGUGCGGGAUGAAGGUCUUCGGAUUGUAAACCGCUGUCAAGAGGGACGAAAUAUGACGGUACCUCUGGAGGAAGCCACGGCUAACUACGUGCCAGCAGCGGC